AACUGAUACUACCUGCGGGAACCUGCGGAAGGAUCAUUACCGAGUUAUCCAACUCCCAACCCCUGUGAAUUAUACCUUUAAUUGUUGCUUCGGCGGGACUUCGCGCCCGCCGGGGACCCAAACCUUCUGAAUUUUUAAUAAGUAUCUUCUGAGUGGUUAAAAAAAUGAAUCAAAACUUUUAGCAAUGGAUCUCU
This 194-nucleotide unclassified non-coding RNA is filed under the name soil metagenome. RNAcentral describes it as "partial contains 5.8S ribosomal RNA, internal transcribed spacer 2, and large subunit ribosomal RNA". The record is from RNAcentral.